AGCAUCCACCACAUCAGAACCACAGAGUGAGCUCCCUUAUUAUUGCACGGGAUGGCAAUGUCCACAUAGCGCAGAGGAGAAUCUGUGAGAUGGGAAGAG
Molecule: long non-coding RNA, 99 nt
Organism: Octodon degus (degu)
Lineage: Eukaryota; Metazoa; Chordata; Mammalia; Rodentia; Octodontidae
Exons: 3
Source: RefSeq, a predicted model, not a curated record